RNAcentral lists this ribosomal RNA (1407 nucleotides) under Candidatus Phytoplasma mali. Its description in RNAcentral is "partial 16S ribosomal RNA". Lineage: Bacteria; Bacillati; Mycoplasmatota; Mollicutes; Acholeplasmatales; Acholeplasmataceae. The record is from RNAcentral.
ACCUUAAUUUAUCUACUUUUCAAAGAGCUUGUUUUCUUAAGAUAAAUACUUUGGUGGGCCUAAAUGGACUCGAACCAUCGACCUCACGCUUAUCAGGCGUGUGCUCUAACCAACUGAGCUAUAGGCCCCGAACCAUUAUUUAUUUUUAUCUUAAAAAAUAAAAAACUUUUUUAAGUCUUUCACAACUGAAGAUGAUAUUUUCCUUAGAAAGGAGGUGAUCCAUCCCCACCUUCCGGUAGGGAUACCUUGUUACGACUUAACCCCAAUCAUCGACCCUACCUUAGACAGUUCCCUCUUUUGCAAGUUAGGCUACUGGUUUCGAGUAUUGUCAACUUUCAUGGUUUGACGGGCGGUGUGUACAAACCCCGAGAACGUAUUCACCACGACAUGCUGAUUCGCGAUUACUAGCGAUUCCGACUUCAUGAAGUCGAGUUGCAGACUUCAAUCCGAACUGAGACUGUUUUUUUGAGAUUUGCUAAAAACUCACGCUUCAGCUACUCUUUGUAACAGCCAUUGUAUCACGUUUGUAGCCCAGGUCAUAAGGGGCAUGAUGAUUUGACGUAAUCCCCACCUUCCUCCAAUUUAUCAUUGGCAGUCUCACUAAAGUGCCCAACUAAAUGAUGGUAACUAGCGAUAAGGGUUGCGCUCGUUGCGGGACUUAACCCAACAUCUCACGACACGAGCUGACGACAACCAUGCACCACCUGUAUCCCUGAUAACCUCCACUAUAUUUCUAUAGCUUUGCAGAGUAUGUCAAGACCUGGUAAGGUUUUUCGUGUAUCUUCGAAUUAAACAACAUGAUCCACCGCUUGUGCGGAGUCCCGUCAAUUCCUUUAAGUUUCAUACUUGCGUACGUACUACUCAGGCGGAGUACUUAAUGUGUUAACUUCAGCACUGGUUUAACCCAACACUUAGUACUCAUCGUUUACGGCGUGGACUACCAGGGUAUCUAAUCCUGUUUGCUCCCCACGCUUUCGUGCCUCAGCGUCAGUUAAGACCCAGCAAGCCGCCUUCGCUACUGGUGUUCCUCCAUAUAUUUACGCAUUUUACCGCUACACAUGGAAUUCCACUUGCCUCUAUCCAACUCUAGUCAAACAGUUUCCAUAGCAUCACAACGUUAAGCGUUGAACUUAUACCAUAGACUUAUUAAACCGCCUACACACCCUUUACGCCCAAUAAAUCCGGAUAACGCUUGCCCCCCAUGUAUUACCGCAGCUGCUGGCACAUAGUUAGCCGGGGCUUAUUCAUUAAAUACCGUCAGAAUGAUUUUUCCAUCAUUUUUUCUUCUUUAAUAAAAGAACUUUACAUACCUAAAUAUUUCAUCGUUCACGCGGCGUUGCUCGGUCAGAGUUUCCUCCAUUGCCGAAAAUUCCUUACUGCUGCCUCCCGUAGGAGUUUGGGCCGUAU